UAGCGUAAUCACUUGUUCUUUAAUUGAGGACUAGUAUGAAUGGCCCCACGAGGACUAAACUGUCUCCUUUUUCUAAUCAAUGAAACUGAUCUCCUCGUGAAGAAGCGAGGAUAAAAAUAUAAGACGAGAAGACCCUAUGGAGCUUUAAACAACAGAGAUAUUUGCUAAACCUAGACUAACUUUCUGAACACUAAACAAAUUAAAGCAUUUUAUUCUCUAGUUUUAGGUUGGGGUGACCACGGAGAAAAUAAAAACCUCCACGCUGUAGGAAGCCUCCCAUCUUCUAAGCCAAAAGCUACAACUUUAAGCAUCAACACAUUGACUCCCAUUGACCCAAUAAUUUGAUCAACGAACCAAGUUACCCUAGGGAUAACAGCGCAAUCUACUUUGAGAGCUCAUAUCGACAAGUAGGCUUACGACCUCGAUGUU
RNAcentral lists this ribosomal RNA (429 nucleotides) under Ranitomeya sirensis (Sira poison frog). Its description in RNAcentral is "partial 16S ribosomal RNA". It matches the Rfam family "Bacterial large subunit ribosomal RNA", at positions 1957 to 2533 of the family's 2925-position model. The record is from RNAcentral. Lineage: Eukaryota; Metazoa; Chordata; Amphibia; Anura; Dendrobatidae.